UACGAAGGGGGCUAGCGUUGCUCGGAAUCACUGGGCGUAAAGCGCACGUAGGCGGAUUGCUAAGUCGGGGGUGAAAUCCUGGAGCUCAACUCCAGAACUGCCUUUGAUACUGGCGAUCUUGAGUAUGGAAGAGGUGAGUGGAAUUCCGAGUGUAGAGGUGAAAUUCGUAGAUAUUCGGAGGAACACCAGUGGCGAAGGCGGCUCACUGGUCCAUUACUGACGCUGAGGUGCGAAAGCGUGGGGAGCAAACAGG
Molecule: ribosomal RNA, 253 nt
Filed under: uncultured bacterium
Lineage: Bacteria
Description: partial 16S ribosomal RNA
Rfam family: Bacterial small subunit ribosomal RNA
Source: RNAcentral